This 451-nucleotide ribosomal RNA is filed under the name uncultured bacterium. Its description in RNAcentral is "partial 16S ribosomal RNA". It matches the Rfam family "Bacterial small subunit ribosomal RNA", at positions 354 to 796 of the family's 1533-position model. The record is from RNAcentral.
GUGGGGAAUAUUGGACAAUGGGGGGAACCCUGAUCCAGCCAUGCCGCGUGUGUGAAGAAGGCCUUUUGGUUGUAAAGCACUUUAAGCGAGGAGGAGGCUACCGAGAUUAAUACUCUUGGAUAGUGGACGUUACUCGCAGAAUAAGCACCGGCUAACUCUGUGCCAGCAGCCGCGGUAAUACAGAGGGUGCAAGCGUUAAUCGGAUUUACUGGGCGUAAAGCGCGCGUAGGUGGCCAAUUAAGUCAAAUGUGAAAUCCCCGAGCUUAACUUGGGAAUUGCAUUCGAUACUGGUUGGCUAGAGUAUGGGAGAGGAUGGUAAAAUUCCAGGUGUAGCGGUGAAAUGCGUAGAGAUCUGGAGGAAUACCGAUGGCGAAGGCAGCCAUCUGGCCUAAUACUGACACUGAGGUGCGAAAGCAUGGGGAGCAAACAGGAUUAGAAACCCUGGUAGUCC